This 253-nucleotide ribosomal RNA is filed under the name uncultured bacterium. Its description in RNAcentral is "partial 16S ribosomal RNA". It matches the Rfam family "Bacterial small subunit ribosomal RNA", at positions 524 to 776 of the family's 1533-position model. The record is from RNAcentral.
UACGGAGGAUGCGAGCGUUAUCCGGAUUUAUUAGGUUUAAAGGGUGUGUAGGCGGAUUAUUAAGUCAGUGGUGAAAUCUCAGAGCUUAACUCUGAAACUGCCAUUGAUACUGAUAAUCUUGAGUACAGUUGAAGUAGGCGGAAUGUGUAAUGUAGCGGUGAAAUGCUUAGAUAUUACACAGAACACCGAUUGCGAAGGCAGCUUACUAAGCUGUUACUGACGCUGAUGCACGAAAGCGUGGGGAGCGAACAGG